Molecule: RNA transcript, 4511 nt
Organism: Triplophysa rosa
Lineage: Eukaryota; Metazoa; Chordata; Actinopteri; Cypriniformes; Nemacheilidae
Exons: 6
Source: RefSeq, a predicted model, not a curated record
GCAGUUAGUCAAAAAACGCCUAUAUAAAAAUAUCCCGCGCAAAGACUUGUCUGCAACGUUAUUUCGCACAAUAAGGUAAGUAGUUCACAGUUUUUUGCUCUUUUGUGCUCGUUUUGUAGUGUAGCUUACGCUUUGAAUUUUAAACAAUGUUGGAACUUAAUAUUCGAGUCUGUAAAAGUUUACUAUACAAUACUGCUCCCCUCAGUUUAUGUGGAGAUGACUGACCUGAUUUUAUAGCGUGCAAACUGAUUAUUCAUCUCGUCAAUGAUUGAUUUCAAGUGAUAUAAUUAUAUAGCAAUUAUAUAGCUUACUGCUCUGAAGAAUAUCGUGAGGUGAAUUAUAUUAUUAGCCCAUACAUUGUACUGUAAGCGGCUAUCAAAAGUAAACAAUUAUAAUAGCCAGCAGCCUACUAUAAAAAUUUAGUUACAGAGAUAUAACCCUGGGCUCCACUUUUUAAAGCUUUCAUCUAAUGGAAAUGAUCUCUGAGAAUGUUUACAGUAGUCAUACUUAAAGGGUGGGAAACAGGUAGCGCAGGGUGUAUUAUGACGUGUCCGCCAGAUGUAGAACGCGGAACAGGUUACAGUUUCAUUUCCUGCAAACACAGAGCAGAAUGCUGUGUAAAGCUACAAACAACAGGUAAGUGUUGUAUGGUAUAUAGCUAUUACUCUUUUUUAUUACAAAUGAAUCUACCGCAGUUGGGACUCGGGAGUGUCGUCUACUCAAUUAACCUGACUUAAUAGAUUUCUAAGAAAAACUAUAUUUUCUACCUAUUGCAGCUUUAUUUAUUUAUUUAUUUAUUUAUCUACUGUCUUCAAGGUCUUAUAUUGAAUAUUUUUCAUCUCUUAACAGAUUGGCAUUUAUAUUUUAAGAACCAUGGUAUCUAUCCCUAUCCCCUAUCCAUUUUCAACUGCAGUAGUAGGCCUACCCAGAAAAAAAGGCCCCCUAAUACAAUGCAUCAUAGUACACAAGAAGUUGGAGAGAUUUCGCAAAUUAAUCCAAGGAAAGGACAUCAAUGGGCUUUACCCUUCUGAAGUCUGGGAAGAUGAUGUCACACUGUUGACAGCAGCAGUUAUAUGCAAUAACGAAGAAAUCUGCUCAUAUCUUAUUAAAGAAUCUGCUGAUCCUAACAAACUCUCAACAAAUAGACUUGCUCCUCUACACUACGCUGGUUGUACACGUGGAGUUUCACUGAGUAUCGUGAAAAGAUUACUUGCAGCAAAAGCUGACCCUGAUGGACGUGAUUUGCAGAUUUUCACUCCAUUGCAGUAUGCUGUUGAUCACAACCGUGAUGACAUUGUGAAAGCACUCCUGGAGACUGGAGCUUCAGCUUCAAGGAAUUAUGGAGGAAAUCCAGUACUUGACAAAAAAAUGGACGACAUGAUUCAUCGACUUUCCUCACAGAAUGAAGAUUUUGAGAAAGUACAGAUAUUUUUCUCAUUUUCUUGUGAUAUUUCAAAAAAACAGCAGACAGAGGUUUUCGCGAUUUAUAAGGAACAUUUCCUUAAAGAGCAUCCUUUUACUCAUACACUUCUGUUUGAGGAGUACUUUAGCUGUGUUAUCGGUGUAGAUGCAAAGAAAUAUCAGCAGAGUGCCAUCAAGUGGUUGAAAGACACAAAGAGCGCAGACAAAUACAUUGAGGACAUCAUCAAGCGCUUUCCAAGAAUUCUCAAGCAUUUUUUGUUAAUUGCAUUUAAUUGCUUAAAUGCUGUUUUGCGUGUCAGUGAAAAGAUUUCUCAUCAGGUGUUCAAUGACCUGUUGCCAGUUUUAACAAACAGUGUCCAGCCUUUUGGAAAUGCACAUGGAGACAGAGUCAAUCAAUUGAUAUUAAGAAUACUUGAUGUCAUGAUGCAAAAAAACUAUAAGCAAAAACUAAAUAUAAGUCAUUCUGUGUAUGAAAAUGUAUGCAAUGGUCUAAUGCCUCUUACAAAAGCUAAUUCAAGUCAAAUUAGUCUUGUGACCUAUGGAGUGUUUGCUCAGAUAAAUGACUUUGCUCCAGGCAUUGUUGGAAAGUGUGGAUUGUCAUCAGUACCUGAGAGCAUACUUAAUGAUGCAGAAAUAUUGAUGGAUGAAACCAUGAAGGAAAAACUUAAAAAUCUGAACACAUCACUUGGAGAUCCAUCAAGUUUCAGUGCAGUGGAUAGACUAUGUGAGGAAAACGCGGUUUCCCCUUCAAUAAGAAAACAGAAGAAGAAAAAGAAAAAUCUGAAAAAGCUGGAAUCACAAGUAGGAGAGAAGGAAGAUGAAGAGAAGCAAUCAUUUCCUGACACAAUGACAUCCAUCGAGGAGACAAAGUCAAGUGUGCAGCCCUUCACACCGCCUGUUGAGAAUCCUCCAGCAGAAAGAAGUUGGUAUUCAAUCAGUCAACGCUGGAAGGAACGUUUUCAAAAACUUUCUAUAAUUGAUGCUAACCAAACCUAUAAAAUAAAAAACCUUACUCUUGUACUCAGUGAUGAGUUUAAGAUCGCUAAAGGAAGUGAUGGAACAGAAGUUUUUCUUGGUUUGAAGGAUGACAGCACAGAGGUGGCUGUGAAACGAAUGAUUAGGUCCAAUUACCGGUUCCUCAAGAACGAGGUGGAAUGUUUACGACUUCCAGAACUUGAUGAUCCUUCUAUUGUGCGCUAUAUAGACUUUGCAGAAGAUGACAACUUUGGAUACCUUAUUCUUCAGCUUUGUGAGUACACACUUGAAGAAUACAUCCAAGAUCACUUACCAGACCAUAGCUCUGUAGUUUUGAAAAAACUUGUGAGGGAAGUGCUCUGCAGUCUACAGGUUCUACACAGCCAAUGAACUAAAGUACUUCAUCGGGACAUCAAACCCCAGAACGUUCUGAUCGACUUUACAGGGAAAGCUAAACUGGCUGAUUUUGGCAUAAGUCGUAGACUGAAACAGAGUGAAACCACUUUACAAACAAGACCCGCUGGAACUAAAUUCUGGAAGGCAAAAGAAGCAAUAGAUGAGAAGAGCAACAGAGGGUACAAAAGAAGUUCUGACAUUCAGGUUGCUGGGAUGUUAGUGUACUACAUUCUCUCCAGCGGGCAUCAUCCAUUUUGUGAAGGUCCAUAUUGUGAGGUUAACAUUCUGGAGGGAAAAUACAAACUGGAGCACCUGGAUGAUGAUGUAGCGAAAGAUCUUGUGGAGUGGAUGAUCAAUGAAGAUCCAGGAAAGAGACCAACUGUGGAGCAGACACUUGCACACCCCUUCUUCUGGAAUGAUGAAAGGAAAGUGGAGUAUUUAAAAACAAUGGGGAAUCAGAAAGAGGCAGAGAAUUGUCGUAAUGCUGAUGAGGAGCUGCUUCGUGCCAUUGAAGAAUGCACAGAGGGGAAAACCUUUUCUAAAUGGAAAACUAAAUUUCCCCCUGAGCUUAUCCAGAAACUGGAUGGUAAGAAGAAACCUUAUCCUGAGAAUACACUGGGCCUACUGCGUUUUAUACGCAACCUAUACCAGCAUUACCUACAAGACACAGCGAACAUCAAUAUAAUGACUUUAUUCCCUGAUCUCUUUGGGAGUAUGUACAUGUUUGCCAAAAAGGCAGGAUGGCACUCCAGAUUUGACUUUUCUUCUCCCAACAUUUAAUCUGUUCCUGUUAUAUGAUGAUACUGCAUACAUUGUUUCAGGAAUUGUUGUAUCUACUUGUAUUUUUCUCUUUAUGAAAGGUUAAUGCUUAAAUGCUUAAGGUUAGUUCUUAAAGAUUUUUCCUCAUCUUAGGCACAAGGAAUCUGGGGCCGGAUUCACAAAAUAUAAGAUUUUUCUUAAAAUAAAUUAUAGGAGGUUUGUAAGAAUGUUCCUUCUUAUGAAGUUUUCAAAUAUUUUCUAAAUUACAUAUGCUUUGUAAAUCAAUUUUGAGAAAUAAAUGUUAGAACUGUCUUAAGAAGUUUUUUCAGGAAUACAAAAAUAUUCCUAACUUUUUUUAUUCGAAUUUAAGAAAGAAUAUGGCAGUUAAGCGAAAUUUUCUUCUUAAGACUGUUUUGUGAAUCGAGCCCCAGGACUGUAACCAGCAUUUGAGGAUAAUUAUAGGGUGAUGGUUUUUUUUAUCCAAAGCGCGCGUCUGCCAAAUGCCUUAAUGUGAUGGCAGGUGUCAUAUUCUAAAAAAAUGCAAUAGCUUUAUGAUAGCCUAUAUCAGAAAUCUUUGUAUUGCCAUAAUAUUAAAAUAUUUUUUUUAUACAAACCAAAUACACAAAACCAUCAAAUAUGCGACCGUUUUUAAAAUAUUAAUUAUAGCUGCAGUAGUCAUGGGGACAAAUGGCACACAAAUGUUUUCUGUAAAAGACUACAUGAAUAUUUGUAUAGAAUUUGUGGUAAAAAUAAAAUAUUGUGUAUUUCUUGCAAGAUAUAUUGCCAAAUAAAAAUAUGUACAGUAUGUUAUAGCGCUGAUUGUAUUUUUUAAUGUGAUCUAAAAUGCAAAAUGAUGAUUAUGCAUUUGAAUUUAAUGGCCUUAUUUACAAUUAUUCAAUAUUUGGGGGUAGCGAAGCUAUAUUCAGGGUUUAUUGUCUUUAUUUCUAAAAUGUAUUUUC